UGGUGUUUUCUUUUCAGAUUCAUUAAUGUCAUAACUGGUUCGAAUUGACUAUAAGCAUUUUGACCGUGCCAAAUUAUUUCCACAGCUGUCGUUCUUAGGCACUACAGCUUCAGAGGAUGGAGAACUUUACAUGUGGGGAAAGAACUCAAGCGGGCAACUUGGCCUUGGAAAAAAUGCUGCGAAAGCAGUUCAUAAGCCAACCAAAGUGGAAUGCUUGAGCGGGCUUACAAUUAAAUUGGAUGCUUUGGGUUCAGAGCACACAAUUGUUGUUACUGUGAAUAUACACCAAGGCUUAUAAAGAAAUUAGAGGGUAUCAGGGUCAAAAGAGUUGCAGCUGGCUUGUUGCAUUCAGUAUGCAUUGAUGAAACUGGGUCUUUAUUUGUGUUUGGGGAUAAAGUGGUAGCUAAUCUUGGAUUUGGGGAGGCCAAGAAUGCAACCAUGCCAUCCAUGAUCAAUACAUUGCCAUAUUCAGAAGAAGUUGCAUGUGGUGGCUACCACACUUGUGUUGUAACAAUGCUUGAAAAUUAAGUGCAAGUUGAUGUGAAUGACAAUGUCCUGGAGAUCAUAUGGGAAGAUCAUUAUUAAAACAUGAAGGUUAAAAAGGAUGAUAAGGAGAAGGAAGAGUUGGACUUUAAGGGUAAAAAUGUGUCAAAUCUAGUGAGUCAGGUGACCGAGAUUCUGUUUAACAAUUUUCUUUAUUGCUGGAACAAGUCUUAACCAAGAUCAAGAUCAAAGUACUUCACUAAGUUAUAUAUGCAGGCAUUGCAAUGAGAGGUGAUGAUGAUUUGGCAUUAUAUUCUCAUCAGGAUGAAUUUUAUUUUAGAAAUUGUAAUACUUUGUGUCUGUGUGUGUGUGUGUGUGUGUUUUUUUUAUGUAUUAAAUUACAUAUUGAAUCAAUGUUUAUGUAUUAAAUUUAAAUUCAUUAAUUUUUAUAUUUAGUUUUGAAGUUUAAAUUUUAAUGGAAAA
Long non-coding RNA from Gossypium arboreum, 966 nucleotides. RefSeq lists it as uncharacterized. Lineage: Eukaryota; Viridiplantae; Streptophyta; Magnoliopsida; Malvales; Malvaceae. The transcript has 9 exons. The record is from RefSeq and is a predicted model, not a curated record.